GGGUUGUGAGGUUAAGCGACUAAGCGUACACGGUGGAUGCCCUGGCAGUCAGAGGCGAUGAAGGACGUGCUAAUCUGCGAUAAGCGUCGGUAAGGUGAUAUGAACCGUUAUAACCGGCGAUUUCCGAAUGGGGAAACCCAGUGUGAUUCGUCACACUAUCAUUAACUGAAUCCAUAGGUUAAUGAGGCGAACCGGGGGAACUGAAACAUCUAAGUACCCCGAGGAAAAGAAAUCAACCGAGAUUCCCCCAGUAGCGGCGAGCGAACGGGGAGCAGCCCAGAGCCUGAAUCAGUGUGUGUGUUAGUGGAAGCGUCUGGAAAGGCGCGCGAUACAGGGUGACAGCCCCGUACACAAAAAUGCACAUACUGUGAGCUCGAUGAGUAGGGCGGGACACGUGGUAUCCUGUCUGAAUAUGGGGGGACCAUCCUCCAAGGCUAAAUACUCCUGACUGACCGAUAGUGAACCAGUACCGUGAGGGAAAGGCGAAAAGAACCCCGGCGAGGGGAGUGAAAAAGAACCUGAAACCGUGUACGUACAAGCAGUGGGAGCACAGAGCAAUCUGUGUGACUGCGUACCUUUUGUAUAAUGGGUCAGCGACUUAUAUUCUGUAGCAAGGUUAACCGAAUAGGGGAGCCGAAGGGAAACCGAGUCUUAACUGGGCGUUAAGUUGCAGGGUAUAGACCCGAAACCCGGUGAUCUAGCCAUGGGCAGGUUGAAGGUUGGGUAACACUAACUGGAGGACCGAACCGACUAAUGUUGAAAAAUUAGCGGAUGACUUGUGGCUGGGGGUGAAAGGCCAAUCAAACCGGGAGAUAGCUGGUUCUCCCCGAAAGCUAUUUAGGUAGCGCCUCGUGAAUUCAUCUCCGGGGGUAGAGCACUGUUUCGGCAAGGGGGUCAUCCCGACUUACCAACCCGAUGCAAACUGCGAAUACCGGAGAAUGUUAUCACGGGAGACACACGGCGGGUGCUAACGUCCGUCGUGAAGAGGGAAACAACCCAGACCGCCAGCUAAGGUCCCAAAGUCAUGGUUAAGUGGGAAACGAUGUGGGAAGGCCCAGACAGCCAGGAUGUUGGCUUAGAAGCAGCCAUCAUUUAAAGAAAGCGUAAUAGCUCACUGGUCGAGUCGGCCUGCGCGGAAGAUGUAACGGGGCUAAACCAUGCACCGAAGCUGCGGCAGCGACGCUGAUGCGUUGUUGGGUAGGGGAGCGUUCUGUAAGCCUGUGAAGGUGUACUGUGAGGUAUGCUGGAGGUAUCAGAAGUGCGAAUGCUGACAUAAGUAACGAUAAAGCGGGUGAAAAGCCCGCUCGCCGGAAGACCAAGGGUUCCUGUCCAACGUUAAUCGGGGCAGGGUGAGUCGACCCCUAAGGCGAGGCCGAAAGGCGUAGUCGAUGGGAAACAGGUUAAUAUUCCUGUACUUGGUGUUACUGCGAAGGGGGGACGGAGAAGGCUAUGUUGGCCGGGCGACGGUUGUCCCGGUUUAAGCGUGUAGGCUGGUUUUCCAGGCAAAUCCGGAAAAUCAAGGCUGAGGCGUGAUGACGAGGCACUACGGUGCUGAAGCAACAAAUGCCCUGCUUCCAGGAAAAGCCUCUAAGCAUCAGGUAACAUCAAAUCGUACCCCAAACCGACACAGGUGGUCAGGUAGAGAAUACCAAGGCGCUUGAGAGAACUCGGGUGAAGGAACUAGGCAAAAUGGUGCCGUAACUUCGGGAGAAGGCACGCUGAUAUGUAGGUGAAGCGACUUGCUCGUGGAGCUGAAAUCAGUCGAAGAUACCAGCUGGCUGCAACUGUUUAUUAAAAACACAGCACUGUGCAAACACGAAAGUGGACGUAUACGGUGUGACGCCUGCCCGGUGCCGGAAGGUUAAUUGAUGGGGUUAGCGCAAGCGAAGCUCUUGAUCGAAGCCCCGGUAAACGGCGGCCGUAACUAUAACGGUCCUAAGGUAGCGAAAUUCCUUGUCGGGUAAGUUCCGACCUGCACGAAUGGCGUAAUGAUGGCCAGGCUGUCUCCACCCGAGACUCAGUGAAAUUGAACUCGCUGUGAAGAUGCAGUGUACCCGCGGCAAGACGGAAAGACCCCGUGAACCUUUACUAUAGCUUGACACUGAACAUUGAGCCUUGAUGUGUAGGAUAGGUGGGAGGCUUUGAAGUGUGGACGCCAGUCUGCAUGGAGCCGACCUUGAAAUACCACCCUUUAAUGUUUGAUGUUCUAACGUUGACCCGUAAUCCGGGUUGCGGACAGUGUCUGGUGGGUAGUUUGACUGGGGCGGUCUCCUCCUAAAGAGUAACGGAGGAGCACGAAGGUUGGCUAAUCCUGGUCGGACAUCAGGAGGUUAGUGCAAUGGCAUAAGCCAGCUUGACUGCGAGCGUGACGGCGCGAGCAGGUGCGAAAGCAGGUCAUAGUGAUCCGGUGGUUCUGAAUGGAAGGGCCAUCGCUCAACGGAUAAAAGGUACUCCGGGGAUAACAGGCUGAUACCGCCCAAGAGUUCAUAUCGACGGCGGUGUUUGGCACCUCGAUGUCGGCUCAUCACAUCCUGGGGCUGAAGUAGGUCCCAAGGGUAUGGCUGUUCGCCAUUUAAAGUGGUACGCGAGCUGGGUUUAGAACGUCGUGAGACAGUUCGGUCCCUAUCUGCCGUGGGCGCUGGAGAACUGAGGGGGGCUGCUCCUAGUACGAGAGGACCGGAGUGGACGCAUCACUGGUGUUCGGGUUGUCAUGCCAAUGGCACUGCCCGGUAGCUAAAUGCGGAAGAGAUAAGUGCUGAAAGCAUCUAAGCACGAAACUUGCCCCGAGAUGAGUUCUCCCUGAC
Molecule: ribosomal RNA, 2804 nt
Filed under: Escherichia coli
Lineage: Bacteria; Pseudomonadati; Pseudomonadota; Gammaproteobacteria; Enterobacterales; Enterobacteriaceae
Description: bacterial LSU rRNA
Rfam family: Bacterial large subunit ribosomal RNA
Source: RNAcentral